This 377-nucleotide unclassified non-coding RNA is filed under the name uncultured Gammaproteobacteria bacterium. Its description in RNAcentral is "contains 16S-23S intergenic spacer region". The record is from RNAcentral. Lineage: Bacteria; Pseudomonadati; Pseudomonadota; Gammaproteobacteria.
UCCGGUUUGUCACCGGCAGUCUCAUUAAAGUGCCCAACUAAAUGAUGGCAAUUAAUGAUAAGGGUUGCGCUCGUUGCGGGACUUAACCCAACAUCUCACGACACGAGCUGACGACAGCCAUGCAGCACCUGUGUUCAGGUUCCCUUACGGGCACAGCAGAAUCUCUUCUGCCUUCCUGACAAGUCAAGGGUAGGUAAGGUUUUUCGCGUUGCAUCGAAUUAAUCCACAUAAUCCACCGCUUGUGCGGGUCCCCGUCAAUUCCUUUGAGUUUUAAUCUUGCGACCGUACUCCCCAGGCGGUCAACUUCACGCGUUAGCUGCGUUACCGAAAGAUAACUCUCCCGACAACUAGUUGACAUCGUUUAGGGCGUGGACUAC